This 468-nucleotide ribosomal RNA is filed under the name uncultured bacterium. Its description in RNAcentral is "partial 16S ribosomal RNA". It matches the Rfam family "Bacterial small subunit ribosomal RNA", at positions 28 to 507 of the family's 1533-position model. The record is from RNAcentral.
GACGAACGCUGGCGGCGUGCUUAACACAUGCAAGUCGAACGGAAAGGCCCUGCUUUUGUGGGGUGCUCGAGUGGCGAACGGGUGAGUAACACGUGAGUAACCUGCCCUUGACUUUGGGAUAACUUCAGGAAACUGGGGCUAAUACCGGAUAGGAGCUCCUGCUGCAUGGUGGGGGUUGGAAAGUUUCGGCGGUUGGGGAUGGACUCGCGGCUUAUCAGCUUGUUUGUGGGGUAGUGGCUUACCAAGGCUUUGACGGGUAGCCGGCCUGAGAGGGUGACCGGCCACAUGGGGACUGAGAUACGGCCCAGACUCCUACGGGAGGCAGCAGUGGGGAAUAUUGCACAAUGGGCGGAAGCCUGAUGCAGCAACGCCGCGUGCGGGAUGACGGCCUUCGGGUUGUAAACCGCUUUCGCCUGUGACGAAGCGUGAGUGACGGUAAUGGGUAAAGAAGCACCGGCUAACUACGUG